CAGCAGCUCGAGUGGUGGUCGUUUUUAUUGGGCCUAAAGCGUCCGUAGCCGGUUCGGUAAAUCUCUGGGUAAAUCGAUAAGCUUAACUUAUCGACUUCCGGAGAGACUGCCGAACUUGGAACCGGGAGAGGUCGGAGGUACUUUAGGGGUAGGGGUGAAAUCCUGUAAUCCUUAGAGGACCACCAGUGGCGAAGGCGUCCGACUAGAACGGGUUCGACGGUCAGGGACGAAGCCGUGGGUCGCAAACCGGAUUAGAUACCCGCGUAGUCC
RNAcentral lists this ribosomal RNA (270 nucleotides) under uncultured archaeon. RNAcentral's name for it is "partial 16S ribosomal RNA". It matches the Rfam family "Archaeal small subunit ribosomal RNA", at positions 477 to 747 of the family's 1478-position model. The record is from RNAcentral.